UACGAAGGGGGCUAGCGUUGCUCGGAAUCACUGGGCGUAAAGCGCACGUAGGCGGAUUGCUAAGUCAGGGGUGAAAUCCUGGAGCUCAACUCCAGAACUGCCUUUGAUACUGGCGAUCUCGAGUCCGGGAGAGGUGAGUGGAACUGCGAGUGUAGAGGUGAAAUUCGUAGAUAUUCGCAAGAACACCAGUGGCGAAGGCGGCUCACUGGCCCGGUACUGACGCUGAGGUGACGAAAGCGGUGGGAGCAAACAGGG
This 255-nucleotide ribosomal RNA is filed under the name uncultured bacterium. Its description in RNAcentral is "partial 16S ribosomal RNA". It matches the Rfam family "Bacterial small subunit ribosomal RNA", at positions 524 to 777 of the family's 1533-position model. The record is from RNAcentral.